This 302-nucleotide ribosomal RNA is filed under the name uncultured bacterium. RNAcentral's name for it is "partial 16S ribosomal RNA". It matches the Rfam family "Bacterial small subunit ribosomal RNA", at positions 508 to 807 of the family's 1533-position model. The record is from RNAcentral.
GCAGCAGCCGCGGGAAUACGAAGGGGGCUAGCGUUGUUCGGAUUUACUGGGCGUAAAGCGCACGUAGGCGGACUUUUAAGUCAGGGGUGAAAUCCCGGGGCUCAACCCCGGAACUGCCUUUGAUACUGGAAGUCUUGAGUAUGGUAGAGGUGAGUGGAAUUCCGAGUGUAGAGGUGAAAUUCGUAGAUAUUCGGAGGAACACCAGUGGCGAAGGCGGCUUACUGGACCAUUACUGACGCUGAGGUGCGAAAGCGUGGGGAGCAAACAGGAUUAGAUACCCCCGUAGUCCCUGUCUCUUAUAC